Hemicordylus capensis (graceful crag lizard) is the source of this 134-nucleotide small nucleolar RNA. RefSeq annotates it as small nucleolar RNA SNORA5. NCBI's taxonomy places the organism in Eukaryota, Metazoa, Chordata, Lepidosauria, Squamata, Cordylidae. The transcript has a single exon. The record is from RefSeq and is a predicted model, not a curated record.
CGCAGCUGUGCCAGAUUCAUGGCCCGCCUUUUCCGUGGUGGGGACUGGUCCAAGCAGCUGCCACAGCAACACCUGUAGCUCAUGGGCCUGGGAACUCUCGACAGGCUCUGGGGAUAGUUUUGCUGCAGACACCC